Long non-coding RNA from Raphanus sativus (radish), 935 nucleotides. RefSeq lists it as uncharacterized. Lineage: Eukaryota; Viridiplantae; Streptophyta; Magnoliopsida; Brassicales; Brassicaceae. The transcript is spliced from 2 exons. The record is from RefSeq and is a predicted model, not a curated record.
UCUUUGUGAAAAAUAUUCUAAAUUUGUAUAAAACAUUUAAAUUUGGAAAAAAAAACUUGCCACUAUAAAUAAGGGAUAUCUGCGCCAGCUGAAACCCAAACCAUUCAGAACCUUUUGAUAACAAGAAUUCAAGCUACGCAAGAAAGAAUGUAAAAUGGUAGUACGAACGUGCUGAAGCCGAUGGACUCUGAGCAACUGAGGGAGUAUGGAUAUCGAAUGGCUGAUUUCAUUGCUGAUUACUACAAAGCAUUGAAUAGACAAGGCUUACAAAGUUUGUUUGAUUUGGUAUAAUCAUCUAAAAUAAAAUAAAGUUACCACAGCCGGACUUGUGAACUUUCGGUAGACAAUAUGUUUGUUGCCAUUGGUCACACAUAGUUAACCACAACAAAACCAAACCAAACCAAAUACAUACAAUUGGGAAAAGGAGAUAAAAUACACACAUUUGAGGAAUAAAAAAACAAAGUACACACAAUCACACGACAUUACCUUACCGAAAGUUCACUUGUCGGGCUGUGGUAACUUUAUUUAAUUUUAGAUGAUUAUACCAAACCAAACCAAACCAAACCUUGUAAGCCUUGUCUAUUCGAUGGUUUUGUAAUAAUCAGCAAUUAAAUCAACCAUUCGAUAUCAAUACUCCCUCAGUUGCUCAGAGUCCAUCGGGUGCGGGUGCGGGUGCGGGUGCGGGUGCGGGUGCGGGUCUGAGUGAUUUUAACGCGGGACGGGUGCGGGUCGAGUGAUUUUAACGCGACUUGUAAGCAUAUAUAAAAAGAAAUAUAUUAAACUGAUUUAUCAAAUAUUUUAUCGUAACUCAAACAUGUAAGUUAAUUAGUUUGUACUACCAGUGUUGUCGACGUUAUGUUUUAUCCAAUUUCAGUUGUAAAGUUCUAUUCGAUUUAUAUGAUUAAUCGAGAAAAGCGAUACAUCAGUGACUCUUA